AAGUCGUAACAAGGUUUCCGUAGGUGAACCUGCGGAAGGAUCAUUAAAUUCAGUAGCUUGCUACUGUUAGGGGGGUCCAUUAGUCUGUAUAGUAUCACUACUGAUGAGCAGCACGACCCUCUGUCUAUACCCUUGUCUUUUGCGCACUCAUGUUUCCUCGGCGGCUUAUACCCGCCGGCUGGAUCAAUCUAUAACCUUUUUAAUUUUCAAUCAGCGUCUGAAAAACCUAAUAAUUACAACUUUCAACAACGGAUCUCUUGGUUCUG
This 266-nucleotide unclassified non-coding RNA is filed under the name air metagenome. Its description in RNAcentral is "partial contains small subunit ribosomal RNA, internal transcribed spacer 1, and 5.8S ribosomal RNA". The stretch from base 1 to 46 matches the Rfam family "Eukaryotic small subunit ribosomal RNA", at positions 1786 to 1831 of the family's 1831-position model. RNAcentral also lists the same sequence under 1 other name. The record is from RNAcentral.